AGAGUUUGAUCCUGGCUCAGAACGAACGCUGGCGGCGUGGAUUAGGCAUGCAAGUCGCACGAUCUUCGGAUAGUGGCAAAAGGGUGAGUAACACGCGGGUAAUUUACCAUAAAGACUGGGAUAACCUGCUGAAAAGCGGGCUAAUACCGGAUAAGACCACACUACCGCAUGGUAGAGUGGUAAAAGGCGGGGACCCUUCGGGGCCUGCCACUUAUUGAUGAGCCCCUAUCAGCUUGUUGGUAGGGUAACGGCCUACCAAGGCUUUUGACGGGUAGCUGGUCUGAGAGGAUGGUCAGCCACACUGGGACUGAGACACUGCCCAGACUCCUACGGGAGGCUGCAGUCGAGAAUCUUUUGCAAUGGGGGAAACCCUGACAAUGCGACGCCGCGUGAGGGAUGAAGGUCUUCGGAUUGUAAACCUCUGUCACUAGGGAUGAAUACCAAUGAUCGAACAGGUCAAAGGAAUGACAGUACCUAGAGAGGAAGCCACGGCUAACUCCGUGCCAGCAGCCGCGGUAAUACGGAGGUGGCAAGCGUUGUUCGGAUUGACUGGGUGUAAAGGGUAUGUAGGCGUUCUUAUAAGUCAAGCGUGAAAUCCCUUGGCUCAACCAAGGAAUUGCACUUGAAACUGCAAGAAUUGAGUGAAGGAGAGGAGAAUGGAAUUCCAGGUGUAAGGGUGAAAUCUGUAGAUAUCUGGAAGAACACCAGUGGCGAAAGCGAUUCUCUGGCCUUUAACUGACGCUGAAAUACGAAAGCUAGGGGAGCAAACAGGAUUAGAUACCCUGGUAGUCCUAGCCGUAAACGAUGGGCACUAGGUGUAGGUCCGUCAAGGAUCUGUGCCGCAGUUAACACAUUAAGUGCCCCACCUGGGGACUACGGCCGCAAGGCUGAAACUCAAAGGAAUUGACGGGGACCCGCACAAGCGGUGGAGCAUGUGGUUUAAUACGACGCUACGCGUGGAACCUUACCAGGGCUUGACAUGUACCUGAAAUCCUUCUGAAAGGUUGGACCUCCCUCAAGGACAGGUACACAGGUGUUGCAUGGCUGUCGUCAGCUCGUGUCGUGAGAUGUUGGGUUAAGUCCCGCAACGAGCGCAACCAUCGCCCUAUGUUGCUAAUCCCGCAAGGGAUGCACUCUUAGGGGACUGCCAGUGAUAAACUGGAGGAAGGUGGAGAUGACGUCAAGUCAGUACGGCCCUUACGCCCUGGGCGACACACGUGCUACAAUCCUCGCUACAAUGGGCUGCGAAGCCGUAAGGUGAAGCCAAUCCCAAAAAAGCGAGGUCAGUUCGGAUUGAGGGCUGCAAUUCGCCCUCAUGAAGUUGGAAUCGCUAGUAACCGCAGAUCAGCCAUGCUGCGGUGAAUACGUUCCCGGGUCUUGUACACACCGCCCGUCAAGCCACCUGAGUUGAAUGCACCCGAAGUCGCUGACCCAACCUGCAAAGGGGGGAGGCGCCGAAGGUGUGUUUGAUAAGGAGGGCUAAGUCGAAACAAGGUA
This 1497-nucleotide ribosomal RNA is filed under the name metagenome. RNAcentral's name for it is "bacterial SSU rRNA". It matches the Rfam family "Bacterial small subunit ribosomal RNA". The record is from RNAcentral.